AGCUGGAUAGCUCAGUGGCAGAGUACCUGCUUUGCAUGCAGAAGGUCCUGGGGUACAAUCCUCAACAAUGGCAUUUCCAGGUU
This is a non-coding RNA of Podarcis lilfordi (Lilford's wall lizard), 83 nucleotides long. The record is from the annotation of a GenBank genome assembly. Lineage: Eukaryota; Metazoa; Chordata; Lepidosauria; Squamata; Lacertidae.